AGAGUGAACGCUGGCGGUAGGCCUAACACAUGCAAGUCGAACGGCAGCACAGUAAGAGCUUGCUCUUAUGGGUGGCGAGGGGCGGACGGGUGAGGAAUACAUCGGAAUCUACCUUUUCGUGGGGGAUAACGUAGGGAAACUUACGCUAAUACCGCAUAAGACCUUCGGGUGAAAGCCGGGGACCUUCGGGCCUGGCGCGGAUAGAUGAGCCGAUGUCGGAUUAGCUUGUUGGCGGGUAAAAGCCCACCAAGGCGACGAUCCGUAGCUGGUCUGACGAGGAUGAUCAGCCACACUGGAACUGAGACACGGUCCAGACUCCGUACGGGAGCAGCAGUGGGGAAUAGUUGGACAAGUGGGGCG
Molecule: ribosomal RNA, 360 nt
Filed under: uncultured soil bacterium
Lineage: Bacteria
Description: bacterial SSU rRNA
Rfam family: Bacterial small subunit ribosomal RNA
Source: RNAcentral